This 613-nucleotide ribosomal RNA is filed under the name uncultured Saccharomyces. RNAcentral describes it as "SSU rRNA". It matches the Rfam family "Eukaryotic small subunit ribosomal RNA", at positions 585 to 1204 of the family's 1831-position model. The record is from RNAcentral. Lineage: Eukaryota; Fungi; Ascomycota; Saccharomycetes; Saccharomycetales; Saccharomycetaceae.
CCAGCUCCAAGAGUGUAUAUUAAAGUUGUUGCAGUUAAAAAGCUCGUAGUUGAACUUUGGGCCCGGUUGGCCGGUCCGAUUUUUUCGUGUACUGGAUUUCCAACGGGGCCUUUCCUUCUGGCUAACCUUGAGUCCUUGUGGCUCUUGGCGAACCAGGACUUUUACUUUGAAAAAAUUAGAGUGUUCAAAGCAGGCGUAUUGCUCGAAUAUAUUAGCAUGGAAUAAUAGAAUAGGACGUUUGGUUCUAUUUUGUUGGUUUUUAGGACCAUCGUAAUGAUUAAUAGGGACGGUCGGGGGCAUCAGUAUUCAAUUGUCAGAGGUGAAAUUCUUGGAUUUAUUGAAGACUAACUACUGCGAAAGCAUUUGCCAAGGACGUUUCCAUUAAUCAAGAACGAAAGUUAGGGGAUCGAAGAUGAUCAGAUACCGUCGUAGUCUUAACCAUAAACUAUGCCGACUAGGGAUCGGGUGGUGUUUUUUUAAUGACCCACUCGGCACCUUACGAGAAAUCAGAGUCUUUGGGUUCUGGGGGGAGUAUGGUCGCAAGGCUGAAACUUAAAGGAAUUGACGGAAGGGCACCACCAGGAGUGGAGCCUGCGGCUUAAUUCGACUCAAC